GUGUAUUCUGGCUACGGGAGAAACAGAAUCAUAAAGUGGUCUCUAGCUCGGGAAGGACCAUAGAGGAUGGUAUUCCAGACCUUCAAGAUGCAGAAGCAAAGUCUAAUAAGGAGUUCAGGAGUAAACUGACAGCCUAGAACUAAUUCAGAAUCACCA
Long non-coding RNA from Suricata suricatta (meerkat), 156 nucleotides. RefSeq lists it as uncharacterized. The record is from RefSeq and is a predicted model, not a curated record. The transcript is spliced from 3 exons. NCBI's taxonomy places the organism in Eukaryota, Metazoa, Chordata, Mammalia, Carnivora, Herpestidae.